UCCUAGGACCCGCACUAUUAAGGAUUGCCUAAUCCCGUCAGGACUGGAAGGUAGCAGCGGUAAGUGAUUUCUUGGUGAGUGCGUACGUCUUAGGUUUA
This 98-nucleotide signal recognition particle RNA is filed under the name Borrelia salvatorii. Its description in RNAcentral is "Borrelia sp. RT1S signal recognition particle sRNA small type". It matches the Rfam family "Bacterial small signal recognition particle RNA". From Rfam's summary of the family: The signal recognition particle (SRP) is a universally conserved ribonucleoprotein involved in the co-translational targeting of proteins to membranes. Archaeal SRP consists of a 7S RNA and homologues of the eukaryotic SRP19 and SRP54 proteins. The record is from RNAcentral. Lineage: Bacteria; Pseudomonadati; Spirochaetota; Spirochaetia; Spirochaetales; Borreliaceae.